This 3071-nucleotide ribosomal RNA is filed under the name Campylobacter coli. RNAcentral's name for it is "23S ribosomal RNA". It matches the Rfam family "Bacterial large subunit ribosomal RNA". The record is from RNAcentral. Lineage: Bacteria; Pseudomonadati; Campylobacterota; Epsilonproteobacteria; Campylobacterales; Campylobacteraceae.
AAAAAAGGUAAGCUACUAAGAGCGAAUGGUGGAUGCCUUGACUGGUAAAGGCGAUGAAGGACGUACUAGACUGCGAUAAGCUACGGGGAGCUGUCAAGAAGCUUUGAUCCGUAGAUUUCCGAAUGGGGCAACCCAAUGUAUAGAGAUAUACAUUACCUAUAUAGGAGCGAACGAGGGGAAUUGAAACAUCUUAGUACCCUCAGGAAAAGAAAUCAAUAGAGAUUGCGUCAGUAGCGGCGAGCGAAAGCGCAAGAGGGCAAACCCAGUGCUUGCACUGGGGGUUGUAGGACUGCAAUGUGCAAGAGGUAAGUUUAGCAGAACAUUCUGGAAAGUAUAACCAUAGAGGGUGAUAGUCCCGUAUGCGAAAAACAAACCUUAGCUAGCAGUAUCCUGAGUAGGGCGGGACACGAGGAAUCCUGUCUGAAUCUGGGUCGACCACGAUCCAACCCUAAAUACUAAUACCAGAUCGAUAGUGCACAAGUACCGUGAGGGAAAGGUGAAAAGAACUGAGGUGAUCAGAGUGAAAUAGAACCUGAAACCAUUUGCUUACAAUCAUUCAGAGCCCUAUGUAGCAAUACAGGGUGAUGGACUGCCUUUUGCAUAAUGAGCCUGCGAGUUGUGGUGUCUGGCAAGGUUAAGCAAACGCGAAGCCGUAGCGAAAGCGAGUCUGAAUAGGGCGCUUAGUCAGAUGCUGCAGACCCGAAACGAAGUGAUCUAUCCAUGAGCAAGUUGAAGCUAGUGUAAGAACUAGUGGAGGACUGAACCCAUAGGCGUUGAAAAGCCCCGGGAUGACUUGUGGAUAGGGGUGAAAGGCCAAUCAAACUUCGUGAUAGCUGGUUCUCUCCGAAAUAUAUUUAGGUAUAGCGUUGUGUCGUAAUAUAAGGGGGUAGAGCACUGAAUGGGCUAGGGCAUACACCAAUGUACCAAACCCUAUCAAACUCCGAAUACCUUAUAUGUAAUCACAGCAGUCAGGCGGCGAGUGAUAAAAUCCGUCGUCAAGAGGGAAACAACCCAGACUACCAGCUAAGGUCCCUAAAUCUUACUUAAGUGGAAAACGAUGUGAAGUUACUUAAACAACCAGGAGGUUGGCUUAGAAGCAGCCAUCCUUUAAAGAAAGCGUAAUAGCUCACUGGUCUAGUGAUUUUGCGCGGAAAAUAUAACGGGGCUAAAGUAAGUACCGAAGCUGUAGACUUGCACACAACUUAGAUUAUUUAAGUUUAGAAUAUGAGAAACUAAGUUAUAUGUUUAGUUAUAUUUUUACUGAUUUUUAUAGAGUAAAGAUAGAAAUAAAACUUAGUAAAAUCAGUAAAAAUAUUCUUAGACUAAAGUUAAGUAGUUUAAGUUGUGUGCAAGUGGUAGGAGAGCGUUCUAUUUGCGUCGAAGGUAUACCGGUAAGGAGUGCUGGAGCGAAUAGAAGUGAGCAUGCAGGCAUGAGUAGCGAUAAUUAAUGUGAGAAUCAUUAACGCCGUAAACCCAAGGUUUCCUACGCGAUGCUCGUCAUCGUAGGGUUAGUCGGGUCCUAAGUCGAGUCCGAAAGGGGUAGACGAUGGCAAAUUGGUUAAUAUUCCAAUACCAACAUUAGUGUGCGAUGGAAGGACGCUUAGGGCUAAGGGGGCUAGCGGAUGGAAGUGCUAGUCUAAGGUCGUAGGAGGUUAUACAGGCAAAUCCGUAUAACAAUACUCCGAGAACUGAAAGGCUUUUUGAAGUCUUCGGAUGGAUAGAAGAACCCCUGAUGCCGUCGAGCCAAGAAAAGUUUCUAAGUUUAGCUAAUGUUGCCCGUACCGUAAACCGACACAGGUGGGUGGGAUGAGUAUUCUAAGGCGCGUGGAAGAACUCUCUUUAAGGAACUCUGCAAAAUAGCACCGUAUCUUCGGUAUAAGGUGUGGUUCGCCUUGUAUUAGGAUUUACUCCGAAAGCAAGGAAACUUACAACAAAGAGUCCCUCCCGACUGUUUACCAAAAACACAGCACUCUGCUAACUCGUAAGAGGAUGUAUAGGGUGUGACGCCUGCCCGGUGCUCGAAGGUUAAUUGAUGGGGUUAGCAUUAGCGAAGCUCUUGAUCGAAGCCCGAGUAAACGGCGGCCGUAACUAUAACGGUCCUAAGGUAGCGAAAUUCCUUGUCGGUUAAAUACCGACCUGCAUGAAUGGCGUAACGAGAUGGGAGCUGUCUCAAAGAGGGAUCCAGUGAAAUUGUAGUGGAGGUGAAAAUUCCUCCUACCCGCGGCAAGACGGAAAGACCCCGUGGACCUUUACUACAGCUUGACACUGCUACUUGGAUAAGAAUGUGCAGGAUAGGUGGGAGGCUUUGAGUAUAUGACGCCAGUUGUAUAUGAGCCAUUGUUGAGAUACCACUCUUUCUUAUUUGGGUAGCUAACCAGCUUGAGUUAUCCUCAAGUGGGACAAUGUCUGGUGGGUAGUUUGACUGGGGCGGUCGCCUCCCAAAUAAUAACGGAGGCUUACAAAGGUUGGCUCAGAACGGUUGGAAAUCGUUCGUAGAGUAUAAAGGUAUAAGCCAGCUUAACUGCAAGACAUACAAGUCAAGCAGAGACGAAAGUCGGUCUUAGUGAUCCGGUGGUUCUGUGUGGAAGGGCCAUCGCUCAAAGGAUAAAAGGUACCCCGGGGAUAACAGGCUGAUCUCCCCCAAGAGCUCACAUCGACGGGGAGGUUUGGCACCUCGAUGUCGGCUCAUCGCAUCCUGGGGCUGGAGCAGGUCCCAAGGGUAUGGCUGUUCGCCAUUUAAAGCGGUACGCGAGCUGGGUUCAGAACGUCGUGAGACAGUUCGGUCCCUAUCUGCCGUGGGCGUAAGAAGAUUGAAGAGAUUUGACCCUAGUACGAGAGGACCGGGUUGAACAAACCACUGGUGUAGCUGUUGUUCUGCCAAGAGCAUCGCAGCGUAGCUAAGUUUGGAAAGGAUAAACGCUGAAAGCAUCUAAGCGUGAAGCCAACUCUAAGAUGAAUCUUCUCUAAGCUCUCUAGAAGACUACUAGUUUGAUAGGCUGGGUGUGUAAUGGAUGAAAGUCCUUUAGCUGACCAGUACUAAUAGAGCGUUUGGCUUAUCUUUAAUAAAGCAU